GUCCUUACUUUGAAAGCACAUAUACCCACAUUGGAAAGAUAUAAAGAUUAGCAUGGCCCAUACAUAAGGAUCACACUCAGAUCUGUGAAGGGUUUCACACUUUU
Molecule: small nuclear RNA, 104 nt
Filed under: Phascolarctos cinereus (koala)
Lineage: Eukaryota; Metazoa; Chordata; Mammalia; Diprotodontia; Phascolarctidae
Source: RNAcentral